GGAGGGCCCAGGGUCCUUUGAGCUCCUAGAGGUCCCGUGUGGAAACAUCUGGAAGAGGUAGGAUCCCCUCGCGAGUUUACCCUGGACGUGUGGCGAAUAAAGUUAAGCAUUUUUAACAGUGAUCACCAGAACCCACCUUUGGAUGCUGCAGCAUAAAGUCCACGGCUUCUUCAAAGUACUCCAGAUGUACACCAUUCAGAUCUUCGGGGAGGUCUUCAAAUCUGAAAUAAGCCAGGGCAAGCACAGCAAAACCAUGUCCGGCCAGGAGGCUGGCCCUGUAUUCACAAAGGCCCCCGCCGCUCCCAAACAGAUCAAUGAUCCCAGGAAAGGGCCCCUUGCCUGGAGAACAUCACAAAUCACAAGGAGCUUUAGAUUCCCAAAAGACAGUAAGCAAACAAGUUUUUGAAGCCAAGGAGAUUGGGGGUAGAGAGAUUGGCAGAGAAAGAACAAAAUGUCUUAUUUUCUCAAACAAUAAUAAUAAUAUAGAGGGAUAAAAAACUACAUAUUGGGUGCAAUGUAUACUACUCAGGUGACAAGUGCACUAAAAUCUCAGUGUUCAUCACUGUAUAGUUCAUCCGUGUAACCCCAAACCACUUGUACACCAAAAGGUAUUGAAAUUAAAAAAAAAU
This 629-nucleotide non-coding RNA is filed under the name Pongo abelii (Sumatran orangutan). The record is from RNAcentral. Lineage: Eukaryota; Metazoa; Chordata; Mammalia; Primates; Hominidae.